RNAcentral lists this ribosomal RNA (253 nucleotides) under uncultured bacterium. Its description in RNAcentral is "partial 16S ribosomal RNA". It matches the Rfam family "Bacterial small subunit ribosomal RNA", at positions 524 to 776 of the family's 1533-position model. The record is from RNAcentral.
UACGUAGGGGGCGAGCGUUGUCCGGAUUUAUUGGGCGUAAAGAGCGUGUAGGCGGCCUUACAGGUCAGCUGUGAAAACUCGAGGCUCAACCUCGAGACGUCGGUUGAAACCGUAAGGCUAGAGUCCGGAAGAGGAGAGUGGAAUUCCCGGUGUAGCGGUGAAAUGCGCAGAUAUCGGGAAGAACACCCGUGGCGAAGGCGGCUCUCUGGGACGGUACUGACGCUGAGACGCGAAAGCGUGGGGAGCGAACAGG